This 497-nucleotide ribosomal RNA is filed under the name uncultured bacterium. Its description in RNAcentral is "partial 16S ribosomal RNA". It matches the Rfam family "Bacterial small subunit ribosomal RNA", at positions 28 to 507 of the family's 1533-position model. The record is from RNAcentral.
GAUGAACGCUGGCGGCGUGCCUAAUACAUGCAAGUCGAGCGAACAGACGAGGAGCUUGCUCCUCUGACGUUAGCGGCGGACGGGUGAGUAACACGUGGAUAACCUACCUAUAAGACUGGGGUAACUUCGGGAAACCGGAGCUAAUACCGGAUAAUAUAUUGAACCGCAUGGUUCCAUAGUUAAAGACGGUUUUGCUGUCACUUAUAGAUGGAUCCGCGCCGCAUUAGCUAGUUGGUAAGGUAACGGCUUACCAAGGCAACGAUGCGUAGCCGACCUGAGAGCGUGAUCCGCCACACUGGAACUGAGAAACGGCCCAGACUCCGACGGGAGGCAGCAGUAGGGAAUCUUCCGCAAUGGGCGAAAGCUUGACGGAGCAACGCCGCGUGAGUGAUGAAGGUCUUCGGAUCGUAAAACUCUGUUAUUAGGGAAGAACAAAUGUGUAAGUAACUAUGCACGUCUUGACGGUACCUAAUCAGAAAGCCACGGCUAACUACGUG